GGACUACAGGGGUAUCUAAUCCCGUUCGCUCCCCUGGCUUUCGCACCUGAGCGUCAGGUACUUCCCAGAAUGCUGCCUUCGCCUUUGGUGUUCCUCCGGAUAUCUACGUAUUUCACCACUCCACCCGGAAUUCCGCAUUCCUCUGAAGCCCUCAAGUCUGUCAGUUUUCGCAGGCCUCUCCCAGUUAAGCCGGGAGCUGUCAUCACGAACUUAGCAGACCGCCUGCGUGCGCUUUACGCCCAAUAAAUCCGGACAACGCUUGCCCCCUACGUAUUACCGCGGCUGCUGGCAC
Molecule: ribosomal RNA, 292 nt
Filed under: uncultured bacterium
Lineage: Bacteria
Description: partial 16S ribosomal RNA
Source: RNAcentral